RNAcentral lists this ribosomal RNA (481 nucleotides) under uncultured bacterium. Its description in RNAcentral is "partial 16S ribosomal RNA". It matches the Rfam family "Bacterial small subunit ribosomal RNA", at positions 28 to 507 of the family's 1533-position model. The record is from RNAcentral.
GAUGAACGCUGGCGGCGUGCCUAAUACAUGCAAGUCGAACGCUUCACUUCGGUGAAGAGUGGCGAACGGGUGAGUAAUACAUAAGUAACCUGGCAUCUACAGGGGGAUAACUGAUGGAAACGUCAGCUAAGACCGCAUAGGUGUAGAGAUCGCAUGAACUCUAUAUGAAAAGUGCUACGGGACUGGUAGAUGAUGGACUUAUGGCGCAUUAGCUUGUUGGUAGGGUAACGGCCUACCAAGGCGACGAUGCGUAGCCGACCUGAGAGGGUGACCGGCCACACUGGGACUGAGACACGCCCAGACUCCUACGGGAGGCAGCAGUAGGGAAUUUUCGGCAAUGGGGGAAACCCUGACCGAGCAACGCCGCGUGAAGGAAGAAGUAAUUCGUUAUGUAAACUUCUGUCAUAGAGGAAGAACGGUGGAUAUAGGGAAUGAUAUCCAAGUGACGGUACUCUAUAAGAAAGCCACGGCUAACUACGUG